RNAcentral lists this ribosomal RNA (764 nucleotides) under Staphylococcus lugdunensis. RNAcentral's name for it is "bacterial SSU rRNA". It matches the Rfam family "Bacterial small subunit ribosomal RNA", at positions 46 to 787 of the family's 1533-position model. The record is from RNAcentral. Lineage: Bacteria; Bacillati; Bacillota; Bacilli; Caryophanales; Staphylococcaceae.
GCCCUAUUCAUGCAGUUCGAGCGAACAGAUAAGGAGCUUGCUCCUUUGACGUUAGCGGCGGACGGGUGAGUAACACGUGGGUAACCUACCUAUAAGACUGGGACAACUUCGGGAAACCGGAGCUAAUACCGGAUAAUAUGUUGAACCGCAUGGUUCAAUAGUGAAAGAUGGUUUUGCUAUCACUUAUAGAUGGACCCGCGCCGUAUUAGCUAGUUGGUGAGGUAACGGCUCACCAAGGCAACGAUACGUAGCCGACCUGAGAGGGUGAUCGGCCACACUGGAACUGAGACACGGUCCAGACUCCUACGGGAGGCAGCAGUAGGGAAUCUUCCGCAAUGGGCGAAAGCCUGACGGAGCAACGCCGCGUGAGUGAUGAAGGUCUUAGGAUCGUAAAACUCUGUUAUUAGGGAAGAACAAACGUGUAAGUAACUGUGCACGUCUUGACGGUACCUAAUCAGAAAGCCACGGCUAACUACGUGCCAACAGCCGCGGUAAUACGUAGGUGGCAAGCGUUAUCCGGAAUUAUUGGGCCUAAAGCGCGCGUAAGCCGUUUUUUAAGUCUGAUGUGGAAGCCCACGGCUCAACCGUGGAAGGUCAUUGGAAACUGGGAAACUUGACUGCGGAAGAAGGAAGUGUGAAUUUCAUGUGUGUCGGUGAGAUGGGCAGACAUCUCGAGAGAAAACCCUCAGCGAAUACGACAUUCUGGACCAUGAAUGUAUACUCAUGUGUGAUAGCCUCGGUGUCUCACAUCAGUAUAUAUCCCC